UGGGGAAUUUUCCGCAAUGGGCGAAAGCCUGACGGAGCAAUACCGCGUGAGGGAGGAAGGCUCUUGGGUUGUAAACCUCUUUUCUCAGGGAAGAACAAAAUGACGGUACCUGAGGAAUAAGCAUCGGCUAACUCCGUGCCAGCAGCCGCGGUAAUACGGAGGAUGCAAGCGUUAUCCGGAAUGAUUGGGCGUAAAGGGUCCGCAGGUGGCAUUGUAAGUCUGCUGUUAAAGAGUUUGGCUCAACCAAAUAAAAGCAGUGGAAACUACAAAGCUAGAGUGUGGUCGGGGCAGAGGGAAUUCCUGGUGUAGCGGUGAAAUGCGUAGAUAUCAGGAAGAACACCCAGUGGCGAAGGCGCUCUGCU
This 362-nucleotide ribosomal RNA is filed under the name uncultured cyanobacterium. RNAcentral describes it as "bacterial SSU rRNA". It matches the Rfam family "Bacterial small subunit ribosomal RNA", at positions 355 to 730 of the family's 1533-position model. The record is from RNAcentral. Lineage: Bacteria; Bacillati; Cyanobacteriota.